GUUUUUAUGGUAUAAUAGUAGGUGACAGUAAAGUUUAAUGACGGUGGCUAUCCAAUCGAAAGUGAGGUGGUGCGUAUGAUCGUACUUCCGAAAUCUUAUGAAAGGAGACGCCUUUUGCCUGUUGAAACAGCGCUAGCCUUAAUGAUUAGUUUCGGUUCUUUAAUCGCAACAAUCAUUUUUGGCAUUCUAGCGAUAGUAA
This is a non-coding RNA of Enterococcus mundtii, 199 nucleotides long. The record is from Rfam. NCBI's taxonomy places the organism in Bacteria, Bacillati, Bacillota, Bacilli, Lactobacillales, Enterococcaceae.